AAACUUAGGCUAAUGUA
Molecule: transfer RNA, 17 nt
Filed under: Amolops bellulus
Lineage: Eukaryota; Metazoa; Chordata; Amphibia; Anura; Ranidae
Also listed under: 2 other names
Description: partial tRNA-Trp
Source: RNAcentral